RNAcentral lists this long non-coding RNA (218 nucleotides) under Carica papaya (papaya). RNAcentral describes it as "long non-coding RNA (CPAP_LNC008140)". Lineage: Eukaryota; Viridiplantae; Streptophyta; Magnoliopsida; Brassicales; Caricaceae. The record is from RNAcentral.
AAUGAAUUCUCUGAAAGGAACACGAGAAAUACGAAAAGUAAUUGAAAAUAGAAAGUAUCUAAUAUUUACUCGCAAUCUUCCUACGGAUCGGGCUUUAGAAUUAGGUCCUCUUGAUCUGAAAUUGUUAGAUAAGAGAUGAGCGACACUAGCUCAGUAAGGAUAUCGCACUACAUCACCAGCACAGAAGUAAAAGUUGGUAGAAAAUCAAAACAACUGAU